Molecule: non-coding RNA, 26 nt
Filed under: Homo sapiens (human)
Lineage: Eukaryota; Metazoa; Chordata; Mammalia; Primates; Hominidae
Source: RNAcentral
UGCCAUUAAAGUGUGCAAUAGCGGGA